UUCUCAUGCUAUGCUAGGCUCCACAUGAUGGUAGACGGCACCGCUUUCGCUUUGCGUCGCUCUCCGCAUCUCAUCGUGCGUGCGGCGGCGGCGGCGGCGGGAGAAGCAGAAGAGGUGACGAUUGGGUUGUCUGCUGCCUUGGGUUUAGCGCGUUUAAGGUUAGGCCGGAGGUUGUUCGUUUGGGCGCCUUCGAGACGGGCAGCCGCACAGAGGAACCAAGGAGCGCGGGCUAAGAGGGGCUAGGCUUAGUUCGUUCGCGCCGGCGCACGGGGCGGACGCGGAACGGCGUCUAGCCCCUCAAGUCUCUUGGGGUCCAUCGCGACUCCGUUCUGGUUUAGCCGUCGCCAACGCCAACAACAACGCCCACUGCCACUCUACCGGCCCCCUCCCUUGUCCUUUCCCAGACCGCGGCUCCUCGACUCCUAGCCGUCGCCGUUGCACAAGCGCCGCGAGCUCUGCGAGUUCUUCUUCUUCUUCUUCGGCCGCCGCCGGCUCUUCUUCGUCCGCGGCCACCACCUUUUCGGCCUCCACAAGACCCGCGGGCGCGGCGAGUGCCGGUUCAGGACCCGGCUGCAACUCCUGCUACUGCUACUACUGAUGAAGCGGCGGUGGCGCGGCGACACGGGGCAGGCCCUCCGGGUCCCCCUGCUGCGACUACGGCCGGUACUCCUGCUGUUCCUCGUAAGACGGGAACUUGUCCAGGUGGAGCGAAGAGGGUGACGAGCGAACACAGGGGAAGAAAUAUAAGAAUAUACGUACAAAUCAACAAACGUAUACACGACAAAGACCUGAUGUUGCUAACUCGAUGUGGAGUGAUAACGUUCCGAGAGGAGUACACGGCCAAACAAACACAAGACAUACGUACCGUACUACAUUACGGCACCCUUGUUCACCAUAACCCCUGAAGUCCUAUCUUUAAGGGUGGUACUCGGUUAAAAACAGACGGCAGAACCGCCGUAGUUAUUUGAGACGCCGCAGUGCGGUACGUAAGUAUCCCGUCGUGCACCUGCCAACUGACGAUACCUGUUAAAUAGCAACGUACUUUUACACUAAACAGUUAAAAAAGGCAAUGGCCUUACAAAACUCUAGAAACCGUGCGAGAUAAAUACUUCCGAGUUUAAACGACAAGUGCUCCAUCGGUUAAAUCCAUUACAACAACGUGCCCAUAAACUACACACUCCUAUACCGCUAUACAUUGAUCUUAAUCAAAUAAAUACCUCAUGAACUAUAACCACCGUGGCUAUCAUAUUACGAACGACUGGAUCAGACAUCUUUAAUUAGACCAAUAUCGAAACACUGCGUUCGAUUAAACACGGAUACCUUAGCCCUUCUUGUUAUUACGUUUAUUAAUUCACUUUUUUACAGGACUAAUGUUAUUCUAUUGACUAAUGUUGAAUGAUCGCCGGGUAGAACAUCUUAUAAAUACAAUCUGAUUAUCAGAAACCCGUUAGUCCAGAUUCAAUUUCUAUCUAAACCUACACACUCCUAAAUGGACCGUAUUAAUCGUGCCUUAGUGGACGGAUGUAAACUACAUACGGAAGUCGUCUGUUUGAUAUUACGUUUAUUAAUUCACCCUGUUUUGAUGAGGGAGACAUUUGAAAAUAUUCUGCAAAAUCCAGUGAUAAUGUCUCCAUCAUACAACAUUUUCACUUGAUGAUUACCGGGUAUAGUUUGUUAUGACUACAGUCAGGGAACACAUUAGUCGACCUUAGAUGUAUAUAUAAACCUACCACCGUAAUGAUGGUGAACGGACAAACCCAUACACGGUACCUUCGCAAAAACCCGUUCACACUAAAAAACUACCUAUUCUUUACAGACCGGUAUCAAUAAGAUCCCAAGAUCGAGUUUGACUAUGUAAAUAAAAGAAAGGUCUAAACCAGAAUAAAUAAGAGUAAAAUAAAUGAGGUCUUUAGAUCGACCACAAGACGGAAGGCAACUUAGUUUCCUUUGUCCCACCCUUUUUUUGGGACAUUCGCUGACAGUGAGUGCCCACACUUUGUUACGGCAGUCGGUCCCGCAAAAAAAAGGAAAUCGUAAAGGAAGACCAAAACCCAGGUUGGUUACUAUUUUUCCUUCACGAAUUCGAACACGGAUCCACGAUCCACAAUCGUCUUACGGACUGGAAUUCGAAUCACACGAAUGCGUUAUAUACGUGACCCGUCUCCGUUUAGAUCCUUAAAUACGGGUCGCGAAAAAAAGGGCCUGGGACACGUUCGCCCUCGAUGUACGUGGCCCGACGGGGGGAAAAUAGAACCCAGAUUAGUUCCUAUAGAAAGUAGGAUCGGGUGUUGCCAGGUCAUGGGUCGGACCCCGAACCGUUUAAGGGACGAGACGGACUGAGUUAACACUGUACCCUGGUGAACAUGUGUUACAACUGAACCACGACACUUGUCGUAGGACGUAGAAAUAAAUUCAAAAUUAAGACAACUCAAGAUGUGUUGACCUAAAAACAACAUAUUCUAUAAUACAACUGAAGAUCUUAUAAGGCUCAUAGUAUUCUUCACUGAAAUGACCCGGAGACCUUUUUGGACUUAAACUCCAGUGCAACAACACUAGACACUCGUUAAGGAUGAUGGACUUGUCUUUUUCACGAAGUUAACUAGACAAAAUAAAUCGAAAGAGGUAUAGAACGCCACAAUCGAAAUCUAAGAUCCAAAGUACUACUUACUUUAACCCUCACGACGAGGAUGUAAGAUCUUUUCGAAAUCUAAAGUCCAGUUUAAAUCACCCUGGUGUGUUUUGUAGGUGAUGAGAUUUAUAUCAUACACGGGAAAUAUAAAACAUGAGGGAGACAGGGUUUUAUAUUCUUGCAAAAACUGUGAUUUGCAAGAAUAUAAUACCCUGCCUCCCUCAUCAUAAUUCCCAAUUGAGAGGUAUACGGUUGACGUGUGACGUCCUUUAACUCUCACUUCUACUAUCGGAACUACUACUCCAACUACGGCGACGACUCCUACUUGUACUUCGUCCUCUACGACAGGGAAGACUCGACAGACAAGUCUUUCGACAUCGAGGUGAUCAUGGAGGAUUUCUUUGCCUUUCUGUCGAUAGGUUCCUCAAUUUCUUUUUCCUCAACCUUCUCGAACUACGACAUAACCGACUCAACCCUUAAAGUGUACUUAGUUCAUUACGAUGAGUUCUACUUUGUUUACUGUUCCUUCCAUACCCAGUCCGACGACUACCUCCCUUUUUCCUUCUACGUAGGCGAGGAGACCUCUCAUUCUGGAGGUUCUUCUUCUUUCGAUUCUUUCUGUUCAGGAGUUUCCUCCGUCUUCUUUGUGACCUAGUCUUGUUACACCAGCUGCUACGACGACCACGCCUUGGACUACUUCUACAACGAAGUCACCUACAGUUCCUCGCGUAUUUCUUCCAUCGUAGUUACUUCUUUUUCUUCAGCUCGUUUCUCUACCUGCGUCGUCGUUUCUAACGUCGUAGACUCCGCCGGCGAUCCUCUCGUUUCGAACGCCGUCGUUUCUUCUUUCUGUUCUUGGUGAUAUUAGUCGUCGGGCACGCCACUUAAUGACGAGUCUAAUACGUUAAGGAAUCUAUGACACACGGAGGCGAUCCUCCUCCGGUGGCAGACCACGCGUAGAACCUUAAGAGAUAUCUACCUGAACACCACAUGACUCGAGACUUAACAAGUAGUGUCUUUGGGAAAACUUAUGUACCAUUUACACCUAUAAAGCAUGAUAUACAAAACAAAACUCAAUUUAUGUGGCCUCCACGGAUUUGAACAGGACGUG
RNAcentral lists this ribosomal RNA (3740 nucleotides) under Triticum aestivum (bread wheat). RNAcentral's name for it is "partial small subunit ribosomal RNA". The record is from RNAcentral. Lineage: Eukaryota; Viridiplantae; Streptophyta; Magnoliopsida; Poales; Poaceae.